Molecule: ribosomal RNA, 748 nt
Filed under: uncultured Tomentella
Lineage: Eukaryota; Fungi; Basidiomycota; Agaricomycetes; Thelephorales; Thelephoraceae
Description: eukaryotic LSU rRNA
Rfam family: 5.8S ribosomal RNA (bases 186-340)
Source: RNAcentral
CGGGUUGUUGCUGGCCCCCAAACCGGGCACGUGCACGCCCUGUUUACGCAUCCACUCACACCUGUGCACCCUCUGUAGUUCUGUGGACCGGGAGACGUCGUCUUCCUUCCGUGGCUCUACGUCUUUACACACACGCCGUAGCGAAGUCUCAUGGAAUGUUUUUCGCGUUUAACGCAAUACAAUACAACUUUCAGCAACGGAUCUCUUGGCUCUCGCAUCGAUGAAGAACGCAGCGAAAUGCGAUAAGUAAUGUGAAUUGCAGAAUUCAGUGAAUCAUCGAAUCUUUGAACGCACCUUGCGCCCCUUGGUUAUUCCUCGGGGCAUGCCUGUUUGAGUAUCAUGAACACCUCAACUCUCGUGGUCUUCCAUGAUGAGCUUGGACUUUGGGGGUUUGCUGGCCCUGUGGCCGGCUCCUCUCAAACGAAUCAGCUUGCCAGUGUUUGGCGGCGUCACGGGUGUGAUAACCAUCUACGCUUGCGAUCGCCUGCCAGAUAACCCUCAGCGAUGAAGGUUCAUUGGGGCUCACAAAAGUCUCUCCACGGCGAGGACAAAUUUUGAAUGUUCGAUCUCAAAUCAGGUAGGACUACCCGCUGAACUUAAGCAUAUCAAUAAGCGGAGGAAAAGAAACUAACAAGGAUUCCCCUAGUAACUGCGAGUGAAGCGGGAAGAGCUCAAAUUUAAAAUCUGGCGUGCCUCCGGUCGUCCGAAUUGUAGUCUGGAGAAGCGUUUUCUGUGCUGGACCGUGUAC